This 529-nucleotide ribosomal RNA is filed under the name uncultured bacterium. Its description in RNAcentral is "bacterial SSU rRNA". It matches the Rfam family "Bacterial small subunit ribosomal RNA", at positions 8 to 525 of the family's 1533-position model. The record is from RNAcentral.
AGAGUUUGAUCCUGGCUCAGAUUGAACGCUGGCGGCAGGCCUAACACAUGCAAGUCGAACGGUAACAGGAAGCAGCUUGCUGCUUUGCUGACGAGUGGCGGACGGGUGAGUAAUGUCUGGGAAACUGCCCGAUGGAGGGGGAUAACUACGCGAAAGCGUAGCUAAUACCGCAUACGCCCUGAGGGGGAAAGCGGGGGAUCGCAAGACCUCGCGUGAUUGGAGCGGCCGAUGUCGGAUUAGCUAGUUGGUGGGGUAAAGGCCUACCAAGGCGACGAUCCGUAGCGGGUCUGAGAGGAUGACCAGCCACACUGGAACUGGGACACGGUCCAGACUCCUACGGGAGGCAGCAGUGGGGAAUAUUGCACAAUGGGCGCAAGUCUGACGGAGCAACGCCGCGUGAGAGAAGAAGGUUUUCGGAUUGUAAAUCUCUGUCUUCUGGGAAGAAUGGUCUCUAUGUGAAUAAUGUAGAGACAUGACGGUACUAGAGGAGGAAGCCACGGCUAACUACGUGCCAGCAGCCGCGGUAAUA